Molecule: ribosomal RNA, 642 nt
Filed under: Amanita heishidingensis
Lineage: Eukaryota; Fungi; Basidiomycota; Agaricomycetes; Agaricales; Amanitaceae
Description: eukaryotic LSU rRNA
Rfam family: 5.8S ribosomal RNA (bases 240-393)
Source: RNAcentral
GGAUCAUUAUUGAAUUAAAAACAAUUAGUUGGAGACUGUUGCUGGUCCUUUUUUUGGGGGGGGCAUGUGCACGUCUCUUGCUUGUUGGUUUUUUCCACCUGUGCAUGAUUUGUAGAUUCCUAGGAUUGAGGGACUUUUAAAUAAGGCUCUUGUUAAUUAUCUUAGGUGUCUAUGUGAUUUUUUUUUUUAAAUAAAUUACAACAAAUAUAUACAGAAUGUGGAUUGAUAAAUUUAAAUACAACUUUCAACAAUGGAUCUCUUGGCUCUCGCAUCGAUGAAGAACGCAGCGAAAUGCGAUAAGUAAUGUGAAUUGCAGAAUUCAGUGAAUCAUCGAAUGUUUGAACGCAUCUUGCGCUCCUUGGUCCUCUGAGGAGCAUGCCUGUUUGAGUGUCAUUAAAUUAUCAAAAUGCAUUACCUUGAAUUGGAGGGUAGUGGUUUUGGACUAUUGGGAGUUGCAGGUUCUGUUGAUGGGGCCAGCUCUCCUCAAAUGCAUUAGCAAAGCGUUAGAUUUAGUGCUUUAUUGGUGUGAUAAAGAUAAUUUUCAUCACCAGAAUGGGCACUUAACUAGAGAUUUGUUUAUUAUGUUUUGAAGUGUUUUUAACGCUUUUUUUAAAGAAAGUUGACCUCAAAUCAGGUAGGAUU